This 955-nucleotide ribosomal RNA is filed under the name Salmonella enterica subsp. enterica serovar Kedougou. RNAcentral describes it as "partial 23S ribosomal RNA". It matches the Rfam family "Bacterial large subunit ribosomal RNA", at positions 1 to 888 of the family's 2925-position model. The record is from RNAcentral. Lineage: Bacteria; Pseudomonadati; Pseudomonadota; Gammaproteobacteria; Enterobacterales; Enterobacteriaceae.
GGGUUGUGAGGUUAAGCGACUAAGCGUACACGGUGGAUGCCCUGGCAGUCAGAGGCGAUGAAGGACGUGCUAAUCUGCGAUAAGCGCCGGUAAGGUGAUAUGAACCGUUAUAACCGGCGAUUUCCGAAUGGGGAAACCCAGUGUGAUUCGUCACACUAUCAUUAACUGAAUCCAUAGGUUAAUGAGGCGAACCGGGGGAACUGAAACAUCUAAGUACCCCGAGGAAAAGAAAUCAACCGAGAUUCCCCCAGUAGCGGCGAGCGAACGGGGAGGAGCCCAGAGCCUGAAUCAGCAUGUGUGUUAGUGGAAGCGUCUGGAAAGGCGCGCGAUACAGGGUGACAGCCCCGUACACAAAAGCGCAUGUGCUGUGAGCUCGAUGAGUAGGGCGGGACACGUGGUAUCCUGUCUGAAUAUGGGGGGACCAUCCUCCAAGGCUAAAUACUCCUGACUGACCGAUAGUGAACCAGUACCGUGAGGGAAAGGCGAAAAGAACCCCGGCGAGGGGAGUGAAAAAGAACCUGAAACCGUGUACGUACAAGCAGUGGGAGCCCCACCACUAAGCCAGUGGUGAACUCCACAUACGCAUCCUUUGCUGAGGAUACGGUUAACGGAGCGAAAGCGACGUUCAACCGCAAAAGAAGCAGAGGGGGCUUAGUGGUGGGGUGACUGCGUACCUUUUGUAUAAUGGGUCAGCGACUUAUAUUCUGUAGCAAGGUUAACCGUAUAGGGGAGCCGUAGGGAAACCGAGUCUUAACCGGGCGUUAAGUUGCAGGGUAUAGACCCGAAACCCGGUGAUCUAGCCAUGGGCAGGUUGAAGGUUGGGUAACACUAACUGGAGGACCGAACCGACUAAUGUUGAAAAAUUAGCGGAUGACCUGUGGCUGGGGGUGAAAGGCCAAUCAAACCGGGAGAUAGCUGGUUCUCCCCGAAAGCUAUUUAGGUAGCGCCUCGUGAA